UAAAUUGAUAUUUUGAUCCGACGGUCCUGAUUUGAUCAACCCUUUCUCUUUUCCCUUCUAUCUGAUUGUACUCUCUACCGCCGCCCCACUCCACAGCAUCGCACCGCGCCGCCCACUCCACCGCCUUGCCGCCGCCAAACCCUCUCUUAGUUUAACGAUCCUCUUUCUACCGCCGGACAGAGGGUGGUAUUUUACCAAUUAUCUACUCUGCGCCUCCGAUCCCAAUUUAACUUUCUCCUCUUUUACAGAAGCUGUUGGCGGAUUCUUGGCUAUUUUCUUUGCUUUUGUUACUACCAUUGGAGCAUUUUGGACAUUUUGGCUAUUCUGAUAACCACAGGUAUAUUAUGGAUGAGCAUCCGGACUACAAUGACUUAAAUGAUGAAAUUAGGAAUGACAUACCUGGUGAAUUGGGAGAUGACUUAUUGAAUAUGGAUGAUGAUCCAAUAGAUUACAUCAACUUCAGUG
Long non-coding RNA from Gastrolobium bilobum, 465 nucleotides. RefSeq lists it as uncharacterized. The transcript is spliced from 3 exons. NCBI's taxonomy places the organism in Eukaryota, Viridiplantae, Streptophyta, Magnoliopsida, Fabales, Fabaceae. The record is from RefSeq and is a predicted model, not a curated record.